CAAUUCUCUUACCUCAGCCUCCAGAGUAGCUGGGACUACAGCUAUGGUCUUGGCAUUGGAUAAACGGGAGUGAACAAAACUAUCAAAACUCUCUCUCUCAUGGAGUUUACAUUUUGAUACCAGAAAUCAUGAAAACAAUGAAGACUAAAGGAACUGACAUUCCAGGAAAGGAAGAACCAUUCCUAAGGUAAGCAAAGAUCACUAGCCAUUUUCUUUCUUAUAGGUUUCCUGUGUAAUUUGUUUUGGAAAUUAAGCCUGCAGUUGCAGAUUUAGGGCUGAGAAUUAUACCUGCAUAGGCAAGAGAAAUGUCUCC
This 313-nucleotide long non-coding RNA is filed under the name Homo sapiens (human). RNAcentral's name for it is "HSALNT0354060". Lineage: Eukaryota; Metazoa; Chordata; Mammalia; Primates; Hominidae. The record is from RNAcentral.